This is a long non-coding RNA of Eptesicus fuscus (big brown bat), 331 nucleotides long. RefSeq lists it as uncharacterized. The transcript is spliced from 4 exons. The record is from RefSeq and is a predicted model, not a curated record. Lineage: Eukaryota; Metazoa; Chordata; Mammalia; Chiroptera; Vespertilionidae.
GUGGGUAUAUAGCUAAUAGGCCCUUGCUUAAAGCCUUCCCUCCUCUUUACCAUGCUUAAUUCAAAUUAGGCUAAGGGGAAACCACUGCUAUGUGUUGAGGACAUUUAGCUGGCUUGUGAAGAAGACCACAUGGAGAGGAACUAAGGCCUCCAACCAACACCCAACACCAAUAUGCCAGCCAGAGUACAAGACAGACAUGGUAGCUGGAGGAAGGAGGGAAGGAGAGGGCAAGGAGCUGUGACAUGGAUGGCAUCCAGACUGUUAGUAGUAUUCAAGAUCUCAGGUUUGGAACAUAUGGGAUAUAUCCCUAUAAUUCCCCAAUAAAGAAGGA